GGUAGUGGGGGACGAACGUUUCGAAAGGAAACGCUAAUACCGCAUACGUCCUACGGGAGAAAGCAGGGACCUUCGGGCCUUGCGCUAUCAGAUGAGCCUAGGUCGGAUUAGCUAGUUGGUGAGGUAAUGGCUCACCAAGGCGACGAUCCGUAACUGGUCUGAGAGGAUGAUCAGUCACACUGGAACUGAGACACGGUCCAGACUCCUACGGGAGGCAGCAGUA
RNAcentral lists this ribosomal RNA (223 nucleotides) under uncultured Pseudomonas sp. RNAcentral's name for it is "partial 16S ribosomal RNA". It matches the Rfam family "Bacterial small subunit ribosomal RNA", at positions 132 to 355 of the family's 1533-position model. The record is from RNAcentral. Lineage: Bacteria; Pseudomonadati; Pseudomonadota; Gammaproteobacteria; Pseudomonadales; Pseudomonadaceae.